RNAcentral lists this ribosomal RNA (452 nucleotides) under uncultured organism. RNAcentral describes it as "partial 16S ribosomal RNA". It matches the Rfam family "Bacterial small subunit ribosomal RNA", at positions 329 to 797 of the family's 1533-position model. The record is from RNAcentral.
ACGUACACUCCUGCGGGAGGCAGCAGUGGGGAAUAUUGGACAAUGGGCGCAAGCCUGAUCCAGCCAUGCCGCGUGAGUGAUGAAGGCCCUAGGGUUGUAAAGCUCUUUCACCGGUGAAGAUAAUGACGGUAACCGGAGAAGAAGCCCCGGCUAACUUCGUGCCAGCAGCCGCGGUAAUACGAAGGGGGCUAGCGUUGUUCGGAUUUACUGGGCGUAAAGCGCACGUAGGCGGACUAUUAAGUCAGGGGUGAAAUCCCGGGGCUCAACCCCGGAACUGCCUUUGAUACUGGUAGUCUUGAGUUCGAGAGAGGUGAGUGGAAUUCCGGGUGUAGAGGUGAAAUUCGUAGAUAUUCGGAGGAACACCAGUGGCGAAGGCGGCUCACUGGCUCGAUACUGACGCUGAGGUGCGAAAGCGUGGGGAGCAAACAGGAUUAGAUACCCCUGUAGUCCCA